This 566-nucleotide long non-coding RNA is filed under the name Cyanistes caeruleus (blue tit). Its description in RNAcentral is "lncRNA (ENSCCEG00000001351.1)". Lineage: Eukaryota; Metazoa; Chordata; Aves; Passeriformes; Paridae. The record is from RNAcentral.
AUUUAUUUUUCAUUAGGAAGUAUCUUUUUAGAGUUACAGUGUUGACUCCAGAACCACCUCCUUCUGGAACCACAACUGAAGUAUUGACCUAAUAGAAGCUAACUCCUAUCUUAACAGCCACACUGUUUCACCUCUAGUUGCAGAGUGGGCUGCUUCAGGGAGCAGAGUUUGCUGCUGUGAGUGGCAAGCCAGGUUGGCACUGAAGUGGAUAACCCCAGCUCUAGUGAAGGAGCAAGGGCAAAUGUGGUUUUGUCUUGGUCCUACUGACCCCAGUGGAAGUCCAGGCUGCUAAAUGACUCACUCUUACCAUGCUUCAUCCUCGAACAGAUGGAGGAGAUGGAAGGGAUGACCAGAAAGGAUGACUGAAAGAUCUCUCAGAACUGACAAUAAUUUGCUGAGCAUAGUAAAGGGAUUUAUGCUCUUGAGAGAGAAACAAAGUCACCAAACACUCUAAAAGACAAGAGCAGAUACAGGAAGCCUACAAGGUUUAAAAUGGGUAGUUGAAAAAUAUGUGUCACCUUUCUUGUGACCUCCUCUUUGUUUUUGUUUUUGUUUUUUAAGUCCAU